ACAAGCGGUGGAUGAUGUGGAUUAAUUCGAUGCAACGCGAAAACCUUACCUACCCUUGACAUGUCCGGAAUCCUGGAGAGAUUUGGGAGUGCUCGCAAGAGAACCGGAACACAGGUGCUGCAUGGCUGUCGUCAGCUCGUGUCGUGAGAUGUUGGGUUAAGUCCCGCAACGAGCGCAACCCUUGUCAUUAGUUGCCACCAUUCAGUUGGGCACUCUAAUGAGACUGCCGGUGACAAACCGGAGGAAGGUGGGGAUGACGUCAAGUCCUCAUGGCCCUUAUGGGUAGGGCUUCACACGUCAUACAAUGGUCGGUACAGAGGGUCGCCAACCCGCGAGGGGGAGCCAAUCCCACAAAGCCGAUCGUAGUCCGGAUUGGAGUCUGCAACUCGACUCCAUGAAGUCGGAAUCGCUAGUAAUCGUGGAUCAGCAUGUCACGGUGAAUACGUUCCCGGGUCUU
This 457-nucleotide ribosomal RNA is filed under the name uncultured Rhodocyclaceae bacterium. RNAcentral's name for it is "bacterial SSU rRNA". It matches the Rfam family "Bacterial small subunit ribosomal RNA", at positions 925 to 1382 of the family's 1533-position model. The record is from RNAcentral. Lineage: Bacteria; Pseudomonadati; Pseudomonadota; Betaproteobacteria; Rhodocyclales; Rhodocyclaceae.